This is a long non-coding RNA of Tyto alba (common barn owl), 3483 nucleotides long. RefSeq lists it as uncharacterized. Lineage: Eukaryota; Metazoa; Chordata; Aves; Strigiformes; Tytonidae. The record is from RefSeq and is a predicted model, not a curated record. The transcript is spliced from 2 exons.
UCUGAUCAUACAAUUGCUCGGUGGGCUCAGGACCCUUGUCUCUGAGCCAUUCUCCAACAGUCCAGGGACCCACUCGCAGCUUCAGUGUCUCAUUACGCUGUUGGCAAAACCUUGAGCAAUUAGAAGAUCACCUUUCCUUCUGGAAGCCUGGAUGCUCGCUUCUUGCUGAGACAACUUGGAUUUCACUUGGAACCUGUCUGGCAGGAUUUGGCUUCCAGCCUGCUUGGAGCCGGGGCCCACGGAGAUUAAUGACAUGGAAAAUGAGGAAUGCUGACCGUAAAACUCUGAAACUGUGGGAAAAAGGCAGCUUAGAGACAGCCGCUGGUGAGAAGGUGUGUGGCUUGUUUGGGGACGGUGUUAGGAGAGGCAAAGGCUCCGGUAGUUCUUUCGGGGCAACAGCCUCGUAUUUAACAAGAGCGUCUUAAAAACGGCCUGACAACCCCUCUCAUGAAGGAGCUGGAGUGCCUCGAGUACAGCAAGUCCUUUCCUUCCCCUCCUAAAGGGUGCGAUCCAGGUUUCCGCGGUUGAAAAAUGUGUUCAUGAAAAUACGGGCCAGCAUGGGAUCAGCCAGAAACGCAAGUCUCUCAUUUCCCCUCCUGCCGCUGAGAGGGCACGUCCCUGUCCUGUUCCUCAGCUCUCCUGCCUUACCCCCGCUUUACCAGAGCUGUGACAGGCAUCCUUCAUCCCUCUCUCAGGAUUUUCUGGUGGUACCAAAGCUCCGUACCGGGGACACGCUGCUUCUCCUUGGGAUGCUGAAAACCUCCACUUCGGUGCGUCUUGGCCACGCGUUCAAGGUCGAACUGGUGAUGGGACGGAGGUCCUCCUCGCAGUUUGGAUUGGCAGGGGGUGUGGGGCUAUUCGGGGUGCCUCAAGGAGCAGGAUGCAGACGGCCCGGCCGCGUUGCCUCAGCUGAGGAAAAGAGGUGCUGGUGGUUGCCGUUCCUCCUAGGUGAAGGAGUCUCUUCAGACCGGCUCCACCAGGUCUCCCAGCUGCAAGGAGGGAAAGCGAGCCAUCUCCCUGGCACAGGCCACAACACAAAGUUGCGGCUCCAAAUCACCUCUGGUGUAAAGCUGAUAGGAAAGAGUUUAGUAGGCAGGGCUGGAAGAUACCAGCCAGUAAGGGUUCCUCUAACACCAGUCACGGGAAACCAGCGCCCUUGUGAAGCCACUGCCAUUUGGCAGUCAUGACAGUCUUGCUUUUCCUUGAGAGCUAAAAGAGGAAGACUGCUGAAAUUCAGGUUCAAAAACCUCUCUGUGUCCAGACAACCUGUUUUCCCAUGGGAAGGUCCUGUGGGUAAAGUGUGCAUCCCUUCAGCGGGCCGGUACAGUUCAGUCUGAGCAGGCAGAGAGGAAACCCGUGGGUAUUACAUCUGAAAUUUUCCAUGAGCCCCUGGGUCAUAUGAAACAGGGCUACGUGAGGCCGUCUGGACCCCCUUGCACCCUGGGGUAGGGUGGGAGCUACCCUGGAUACCCGGCCUCAAGUGCCUGCCUGUGUGUGCGUGGGCUUCACCUUCUCCCAGAUUUUGACUGCCUUCCUUGCAGAACAGCAAUUCUUGGUUAUAAAACAGGGUGAUCUACAGAAAGGACCCAGGAAACCCUUAAUCAGCAGGAGGUGACAUGUUCCUCCACAGUCUGUGCCCAGAAUCAACAUUCUAAAACCUCUAGGCAGCAGGAGAGAUGCCUGUACUGCCAGCUCCUGCCAGACUUCUAGCUAAACAAAAAAAGAGAGUCCUUCAAAAGUGGUAGCUCUAGGAGCCUUUCUUCAUUACAAAAUUCACCUAGAAAUGCAUUUUAGGGCUUCUUGUCCUAAAAGAAAGGGCUUGGUGGCCUCUUACUGCAGGAGGACAGCUUGGCCAUGGCCAUGCUUUGUGCAGGAGGGAUGUGAACAAUGAAGCCGAGCCCAUCCCUGCACACGUGCUGCUGGGUUUAGCAGCCUGGUGCCGUCCAGAGAAUGCAGCUCUGCUCUUCAGGUGGGUUUUAAUCCAUGGGAUGUGGUUAUUUCCUGAACUCUUGGCCGGGACAGUUGCUUCUCCAAAAAACAAUUGCAGCUUCAAGGGAAAUGUGUUUGCAAAAGGAAGGAAGAUUUGAGGUAGGUGCAGCAAAGCUGAAGGAGGGAUACACGGUUUGAAUAUGGGAUGAGGGAAAAAGGGAUUUCCACCUGUUUGUGUGUGAUUUUCUCCUAUGAGACGGAUGAAAUGGGACUGCAAAGCCACGCAUCUGAGCCGGAGAUGAAAGAGCACCAGUGCCAGGGCUCAGGUUGUGCAACACGCAGCUGCUCGAAGGCAUUUUGUCACUUUGUGCUCAGGGGGUUCAGUGCUUGUUGUCUGCCCGGGGCAGCUGUGUCCUCAUCCCAUCAUCUCAACAGAGAGAGAAAAACUCAUUUCUCCCCCUCUCUUCCCAGCAGCAAGCACAGCUCCGAGCACAGGCAGCAGUGGUGGGGACCAAGUCCAUACCUGGCUCGGAGCAGAUGAUUUUUCUUUUUUUCUGCUGUGGUUUCAUUCCUCUGAGGUCCCUGUCGCGGCUGGUCCCCAGAGGCUGCCCCUUCUCCAGCACUAACGUGGACCCAUCCCUGGGAGGAGAGACAGGUGUGUGGUGAUGGGUACCCCUCUAAACCUCCCACCUCUGCUUCUCAGCAUCCUGCCUCGAGACGGGGCGGUGCAUGUAGGCAUGAGAUAAAUCAGUGCCGCAGAAGCUUGGAGACCAGUGAUUUAGGAUGCCGGUGCACAUCCCUUUCUGAUCGUGACCCUGUGAAGGCAGUCCAUGCCUGCGGUGGGGGAGGAGGGACAGGACCGUUUGAAGUCCAAACCACCCGCCUCUUCUUUUCAGCCCUUUCAGCCAGGGCUGAGCUUGAUUGAAUUAGCAUUCCCCAGCUGGAAGCGGGGUGAGGGCAAGCUGGCCACCCGGCUCGGUGGUCCUGUGGUGCAGGUUGUCUGCCAUAGCCCCCCCAGCACCCGUGGAAAGCAGCACCGUGGAGCAUGCCCACCCUGGAGGGGUUGGCUGUGGGCUUUGGUCCUUCAAUUAUUUUCUUUAACCCAACCCAGUCAAAGAGUUAAAAAAACCCCUGUGAGUAGGGAAGAUGAGGAUGAAUGGGUCCUUAGAUGGGGAAAGGUGGAAAUCGCUUGGAAAAAAGAAAAAAAUAUAUAUGUUUAUAUAUGUAUAUAUAUAUUAUAUACAUGAAUAUAUAUAUAAAAGACUGACCCAGCCCUGAACUUUUCUGGCAGGGAAGGUAAAUUCAUGAGGAAAUAUAGCACAGCCUGCAAUUCCUCAUUAUAUCAGUGGGAGCGACGUUACCGGGGCCAGUAAAUCUGCCAGAUGGCAACAGGGGGGAUUAGGUGGGAAGGUGGGACCCGCAGAAGGGUGUUGUGUCUCCCCUCCCCCAGCUCCUGCUCCACCCCCACCUUCUUCGUUAAGGAAUGUUAAUCAUCCUGGCUCGCAACGUGCUGUUGGAGGUUUGUUUAUAAUAAAAUCUUUAUGGUGCUUAGGA